Molecule: long non-coding RNA, 617 nt
Organism: Macrobrachium nipponense
Lineage: Eukaryota; Metazoa; Arthropoda; Malacostraca; Decapoda; Palaemonidae
Exons: 4
Source: RefSeq, a predicted model, not a curated record
CUAGUAUGGAGCGUUCAAGGAGUGUACAAUUGCAUGUGUUUCGUGUGUAUUUCGUUUAGUUUUAACCAAAUUCUGGUGGCUUUGGAUUGGAAUUUGUAGACGAAUGGGAAGCAAAGUAUAACCGCCAUGGUUCAAUACAGUGUCGACAGUUACCUUCUCGGAUAUUAAAUAGGUGUAGACUACUGGGAUAAGCAGUAACGAAAUUCACUGGCAAUUUUGAAAAGGAAGGAUAUUAAUGGACAAUGGAGGAGGAAAAACUACCUGGAUUGGGUUAAGAUUGCCCAAAGAUGAGAAAUAUACAACCAACAGUGUGCAUGCUGUGAUUGUGGUUGAAGCAAUCUGUCAAACCUAGUGGGGAAAUUGAAUUACAAAUGGCCUUUAAAAGUAUUCAAGUAUCACGGUUGGAAUUAAGACUUGGGAAAAUUGAAGUGAAUGGUUAACCUACACCUAAUGGCAGAUUUGGGAAAGAUUUGACUAUUUGUAAGGUGCAUAGCAGGCAGCUGGCGGCGACAGUGAGAUUAUCCGUAGAACACAUCUUUCAAGGAAAUUCAGAGUAAGUUGCAAGAAAUUUCACGUACUGGGGUCCUCAGAAAUCAAAGUGCAGCAUAGGACACAGC